Molecule: ribosomal RNA, 435 nt
Filed under: uncultured bacterium
Lineage: Bacteria
Description: partial 16S ribosomal RNA
Rfam family: Bacterial small subunit ribosomal RNA
Source: RNAcentral
AGCGAACGCUGGCGGCAGGCUUAACACAUGCAAGUCGAGCGGGCACUUUCGGGUGUCCGCGGCGGACGGGUGAGUAACGCGUGGGAACGUGCCCUCUGGUUCGGAAUAACUCAGGGAAACUUGAGCUAAUACCGGAUACGCCCUUUUGGGGAAAGGCUUGCUGCCGGAGGAUCGGCCCGCGUCGGAUUAGCUAGUUGGUGAGGUAACGGCUCACCAAGGCGACGAUCAGUAGCUGGUCUGAGAGGAUGAUCAGCCACACUGGGACUGAGACACGGCCCAGACUCCUACGGGAGGCAGCAGUGGGGAAUAUUGGACAAUGGGCGCAAGCCUGAUCCAGCCAUGCCGCGUGAGUGAUGAAGGCCUUAGGGUUGUAAAGCUCUUUUAUCCGGGACGAUAAUGACGGUACCGGAGGAAUAAGCCCCGGCUAACUUCGUG